CCGUACACAAAAAUGCACAUGCUGUGAGCUCGAUGAGUAGGGCGGGACACGUGGUAUCCUGUCUGAAUAUGGGGGGACCAUCCUCCAAGGCUAAAUACUCCUGACUGACCGAUAGUGAACCAGUACCGUGAGGGAAAGGCGAAAAGAACCCCGGCGAGGGGAGUGAAAAAGAACCUGAAACCGUGUACGUACAAGCAGUGGGAGCACGCUUAGGCGUGUGACUGCGUACCUUUUGUAUAAUGGGUCAGCGACUUAUAUUCUGUAGCAAGGUUAACCGAAUAGGGGAGCCGAAGGGAAACCGAGUCUUAACUGGGCGUUAAGUUGCAGGGUAUAGACCCGAAACCCGGUGAUCUAGCCAUGGGCAGGUUGAAGGUUGGGUAACACUAACUGGAGGACCGAACCGACUAAUGUUGAAAAAUUAGCGGAUGACUUGUGGCUGGGGGUGAAAGGCCAAUCAAACCGGGAGAUAGCUGGUUCUCCCCGAAAGCUAUUUAGGUAGCGCCUCGUGAAUUCAUCUCCGGGGGUAGAGCACUGUUUCGGCAAGGGGGUCAUCCCGACUUACCAACCCGAUGCAAACUGCGAAUACCGGAGAAUGUUAUCACGGGAGACACACGGCGGGUGCUAACGUCCGUCGUGAAGAGGGAAACAACCCAGACCGCCAGCUAAGGUCCCAAAGUCAUGGUUAAGUGGGAAACGAUGUGGGAAGGCCCAGACAGCCAGGAUGUUGGCUUAGAAGCAGCCAUCAUUUAAAGAAAGCGUAAUAGCUCACUGGUCGAGUCGGCCUGCGCGGAAGAUGUAACGGGGCUAAACCAUGCACCGAAGCUGCGGCAGCGACGCUUAUGCGUUGUUGGGUA
RNAcentral lists this ribosomal RNA (854 nucleotides) under Escherichia coli. Its description in RNAcentral is "partial 23S ribosomal RNA". It matches the Rfam family "Bacterial large subunit ribosomal RNA", at positions 373 to 1230 of the family's 2925-position model. The record is from RNAcentral. Lineage: Bacteria; Pseudomonadati; Pseudomonadota; Gammaproteobacteria; Enterobacterales; Enterobacteriaceae.